This 465-nucleotide ribosomal RNA is filed under the name uncultured Klebsiella sp. Its description in RNAcentral is "bacterial SSU rRNA". It matches the Rfam family "Bacterial small subunit ribosomal RNA", at positions 338 to 795 of the family's 1533-position model. Lineage: Bacteria; Pseudomonadati; Pseudomonadota; Gammaproteobacteria; Enterobacterales; Enterobacteriaceae. The record is from RNAcentral.
CCUACGGGGGGCUGCAGUGGGGAAUAUUGCACAAUGGGCGCAAGCCUGAUGCAGCCAUGCCGCGUGUGUGAAGAAGGCCUUCGGGUUGUAAAGCACUUUCAGCGGGGAGGAAGGCGGUGAGGUUAAUAACCUCAUCGAUUGACGUUACCCGCAGAAGAAGCACCGGCUAACUCCGUGCCAGCAGCCGCGGUAAUACGGAGGGUGCAAGCGUUAAUCGGAAUUACUGGGCGUAAAGCGAACGCAGGCGGUCUGUCAAGUCGGAUGUGAAAUCCCCGGGCUCAACCUGGGAACUGCAUUCGAAACUGGCAGGCGAGAGUCUUGUAGAGGGGGGUAGAAUUCCAGGUGUAGCGGUGAAAUGCGUAGAGAUCUGGAGGAAUACCGGUGGCGAAGGCGGCCCCCUGGACAAAGACUGACGCUCAGGUGCGAAAGCGUGGGGAGCAAACAGGAUUAGAUACCCGGGUAGUC